Molecule: microRNA precursor, 92 nt
Filed under: Pongo abelii (Sumatran orangutan)
Lineage: Eukaryota; Metazoa; Chordata; Mammalia; Primates; Hominidae
Description: miRNA
Rfam family: mir-641 microRNA precursor family
Source: RNAcentral
UGGGUGAAAGGAAGGAAAGACAUAGGAUAGAGUCACCUCUGUCCUCCACCUAUAGAGGUGACUAUCCUAUGUCUUUCCUUCCUCUCACCCCU